Molecule: ribosomal RNA, 526 nt
Filed under: Candida tropicalis
Lineage: Eukaryota; Fungi; Ascomycota; Pichiomycetes; Serinales; Debaryomycetaceae
Description: LSU rRNA
Rfam family: Eukaryotic large subunit ribosomal RNA
Source: RNAcentral
GCUGUAGCGGCGAGUGAGCGGCAAAAGCUCAAAUUUGAAAUCUGGCUCUUUCAGAGUCCGAGUUGUAAUUUGAAGAAGGUAUCUUUGGGUCUGGCUCUUGUCUAUGUUUCUUGGAACAGAACGUCACAGAGGGUGAGAAUCCCGUGCGAUGAGAUGAUCCAGGCCUAUGUAAAGUUCCUUCGAAGAGUCGAGUUGUUUGGGAAUGCAGCUCUAAGUGGGUGGUAAAUUCCAUCUAAAGCUAAAUAUUGGCGAGAGACCGAUAGCGAACAAGUACAGUGAUGGAAAGAUGAAAAGAACUUUGAAAAGAGAGUGAAAAAGUACGUGAAAUUGUUGAAAGGGAAGGGCUUGAGAUCAGACUUGGUAUUUUGUAUGUUACUUCUUCGGGGGUGGCCUCUACAGUUUAUCGGGCCAGCAUCAGUUUGGGCGGUAGGAGAAUUGCGUUGGAAUGUGGCACGGCUUCGGUUGUGUGUUAUAGCCUUCGUCGAUACUGCCAGCCUAGACUGAGGACUGCGGUUUAUACCUAGGA